This 245-nucleotide ribosomal RNA is filed under the name uncultured bacterium. RNAcentral's name for it is "partial 16S ribosomal RNA". The record is from RNAcentral.
CUGCUGCCUCCCGUAGGAGUCUGGGCCGUGUCUCAGUCCCAAUGUGGCCGUCCGCCCUCUCAGGCCGGCUACUGAUCGUCGCCUUGGUAGGCCGUUACCCUCCCAACCAGCUAAUCAGACGCGGGCCCAUCUUAUACCACCUCAGUUUUUCACACUGCGUCAUGCGCCGCUGUGCGCUUAUGCGGUAUUAGCAGCUGUUUCCAGCUGUUAUCCCCCUGUAUAAGGCAGGUUGCCCACGCGUUACU